Long non-coding RNA from Pipistrellus kuhlii (Kuhl's pipistrelle), 307 nucleotides. RefSeq lists it as uncharacterized. The record is from RefSeq and is a predicted model, not a curated record. Lineage: Eukaryota; Metazoa; Chordata; Mammalia; Chiroptera; Vespertilionidae. The transcript has 4 exons.
UCUGUGGAGGAGGGCAGUAGAAGAAUUUGAUCAGAUGUAGGAAGCCAUUCAUUGUCAAUACUAUCAUGAGAGUGCAUCAAGGAACUCAGAAGGCUGAUGAACCUUGAGCUUUAGCAGGGCUAAAGCUAUGCACUGAGUGUUCUGUGUUGAGAUAGUGAUGGCUGGAAGCAAUUUCCUGACCUGAUAGCCUCAAAGUAAAGCUUUACUGAUCUUUACUGACCUUUGAGAUGGUCGGUCUGCUACCUGUUUGCCGUGCUUUACCAAGGGCAAGGUGUCUAUCUAAAAGUGAAUAAAAAGCAGACUGGCC